RNAcentral lists this ribosomal RNA (233 nucleotides) under Vibrio parahaemolyticus. Its description in RNAcentral is "partial 23S ribosomal RNA". It matches the Rfam family "Bacterial large subunit ribosomal RNA", at positions 2110 to 2342 of the family's 2925-position model. Lineage: Bacteria; Pseudomonadati; Pseudomonadota; Gammaproteobacteria; Vibrionales; Vibrionaceae. The record is from RNAcentral.
CUUGGCACUGAACAUUGACCCUACAUGUGUAGGAUAGGUGGGAGGCUUUGAAGCACGUACGCCAGUAUGUGUGGAGCCGUCCUUGAAAUACCACCCUUGUAGUGUUGAUGUUCUAACGUCGACCCCUUAUCGGGGUUACGGACAGUGCCUGGUGGGUAGUUUGACUGGGGCGGUCUCCUCCCAAAGAGUAACGGAGGAGCACGAAGGUGGGCUAAUCACGGUUGGACAUCGUG